RNAcentral lists this ribosomal RNA (254 nucleotides) under uncultured bacterium. RNAcentral describes it as "partial 16S ribosomal RNA". It matches the Rfam family "Bacterial small subunit ribosomal RNA", at positions 524 to 776 of the family's 1533-position model. The record is from RNAcentral.
GACGGAGGGUGCAAGCGUUGUUCGGAUUUACUGGGCGUAAAGGGCGCGUAGGCGGUCGUGACAAGUCACUUGUGAAAUCUCCGGGCUUAACUCGGAACGGUCAAGUGAUACUGUCGGACUAGAGUACAGAAGGGGCAACUGGAAUUCUCGGUGUAGCGGUGAAAUGCGUAGAUAUCGAGAGGAACACCUGCGGCGAAGGCGGGUUGCUGGGCUGAUACUGACGCUGAGGCGCGAAAGCCAGGGGAGCGAACGGG